GUGAGGAAUAUUGGUCAAUGGGCGGGAGCCUGAACCAGCCAAGUCGCGUGAAGGAAGAAGGAUCUAUGGUUCGUAAACUUCUUUUGCAGGGGAAUAAAGUGCAGGACGUGUCCUGUUUUGUAUGUACCCUGAGAAUAAGGAUCGACUAACUCCGUGCCAGCAGCCGCGGUAAUACGGAGGAUCCGAGCGUUAUCCGGAUUUAUUGGGUUUAAAGGGUGCGUAGGUGGUUUGUUAAGUCAGCGGUGAAAGUUUGCAGCUUAACUGUAAAAAUGCCGUUGAAACUGUCGGACUUGAGUGUAAAUGAGGUAGGCGGAAUGCGUGGUGUAGCGGUGAAAUGCAUAGAUAUCACGCAGAACUCCGAUUGCGAAGGCAGCUUACUAAGCUACAACUGACACUGAAGCACGAAAGCGUGGGGAUCAAACAGGAUUAGAUACCCUAGUAGUCC
This 445-nucleotide ribosomal RNA is filed under the name uncultured bacterium. RNAcentral's name for it is "partial 16S ribosomal RNA". It matches the Rfam family "Bacterial small subunit ribosomal RNA", at positions 354 to 796 of the family's 1533-position model. The record is from RNAcentral.